This 1015-nucleotide ribosomal RNA is filed under the name uncultured bacterium. Its description in RNAcentral is "bacterial SSU rRNA". It matches the Rfam family "Bacterial small subunit ribosomal RNA", at positions 8 to 1024 of the family's 1533-position model. The record is from RNAcentral.
AGAGUUUGAUCAUGGCUCAGGAUGAACGCUAGCGGCAGGCCUAACACAUGCAAGUCGAGGGGCAGCACGGGUAGCAAUACCUGGUGGCGACCGGCGCACGGGUGCGUAACGCGCAUGGAACCUACCCUCCGCAGGGGGAUAGCCCGCCGAAAGGCGGAUUAAUACCCCAUAGUUCCCCCGGACCACCUGGUCUGGGGGGUAAAGCUACGGCGGCGGAGGAUGGCCAUGCGUGCCAUUAGCUAGUCGGCGGGGUAACGGCCCACCGAGGCGAUGAUGGCUAGGGGGUCUGAGAGGAUGGUCCCCCACACUGGUACUGAGACACGGACCAGACUCCUACGGGAGGCAGCAGUGAGGAAUAUUGGUCAAUGGGCGCAAGCCUGAACCAGCCAUGCCGCGUGCAGGAAGACGGCCCUAUGGGUUGUAAACUGCUUUUGCACGGGAAGAAUGGCCCCCUCGUGAGGGGGUUUGACGGUACCGUACGAAUAAGGAUCGGCUAGCUCCGUGCCAGCAGCCGCGGUAAUACGGAGGAUCCAAGCGUUAUCCGGAUUUACUGGGUUUAAAGGGUGCGUAGGCGGGCGCUUAAGUCAGCGGUGAAAGGCAGCGGCUCAACCGUUGAAUUGCCGUUGAAACUGGGCGCCUUGGAUUCGGUCGAGGCCGGCGGAAUGCGUGGUGUAGCGGUGAAAUGCUUAGAUAUCACGCGGAACGCCGAUUGCGAAGGCAGCUGGCCAGACCGAGAUCGACGCUGAGGCACGAAAGCGUGGGGAUCAAACAGGAUUAGAUACCCUGGUAGUCCACGCCGUAAACGAUGAUCACUGGAUGCCGGCGAUACACCGUCGGUGUCUGAGCGAAAGCAUUAAGUGAUCCACCUGGGGAGUACGAUCGCAAGGUUGAAACUCAAAGGAAUUGACGGGGGCCCGCACAAGCGGAGGACAUGUGGUUUAAUUCGAUGAUACGCGAGGACCUUACCUGGGCUAGACGCCGAGCGCAUAUGGGGAACCCCAUAGCCAGCAUGCGU